Molecule: unclassified non-coding RNA, 1019 nt
Filed under: Hevea brasiliensis (rubber tree)
Lineage: Eukaryota; Viridiplantae; Streptophyta; Magnoliopsida; Malpighiales; Euphorbiaceae
Source: RNAcentral
AAAAAAAAGAGAAUGAAUAAGAGAUUUUUAAGACACAUUCCCAAAAGAAAAAAAGGUGUAAGAUCAUGAAAUAUAGUUGGGGUAAAAAAAAAUAAUAGGGAAAGAGAAAAACACUUGAUACCAUUGCAAUAAGGCACAGAAUGGGCAUAAAUUAUAAGACAGAAAUAUCAAAUAAGUAAAACAUCCACUAAGGGUUGCAGUUAACAGUUGCCCAAAAUGCUCCAAAAGCUUCAAGUAACAUGUAGAUUGCCAGUCUAUUUCGUUGGGGGUAAGUAGACUAAAGAAUGAAGUUCAGAAAAGAAUCUUGUUUGGUUGCAUUAUCAAACCAACUUCCCAAAAAGAAGACCAUGCUACUUCCCUAGCAACUGGAAGUUGCACUUCCUAGAUAAUUUAUUACCCUUGUGGGCAUUAUUGUCUUUACAAUUUAAAAGCAAAUUAGUUCGUGUGAAGUUAAUUUUUAUAACAACCACAUUUGUAUCAUACUUGACGAAGCAAGGUUCCUGGCAAGUUCUCUACAAGUGUACUUCAUACUUCGCAGGGAGUAUAACAUUUAAACCACAGAAGAACUAAGUUAGAAAAAGACCAUCAUCUAUCAUGACAUCCACAUAAAUUACUACUCUACCAGCAAUCAACACUAUAUUUCGGAUUGUCUUCUAAUCCCAUGAGGUGUUUAUAUAUAGAAAUGGAAAAGCUAACUCAUAUUGAAAAUUAACAGGGAACCAAAUAAGGAUCUAAUGAGACAAAAUUAAUCGGCUAAAGCACUGGGAAAGGAAGCAACUUUUGAAUAAUUUGGCAGAGACUUGAGCUAAAGCCCAAGAAAAUGCCAACAGUGCCUAGCAAAAUCAUUAAUUGAAGAAAUUUAAAGAUCAUUAAGCUAAGACCAUAGAAACCUUCAAGCAUCGUACUCCAUUAUUUAGAAGGGGAAAUAAAAGGAAUAGAAAAGUAUCCACUAAGAAAGGCCUGGUACAACAUACCAACCGAGGAUAACGACUUUCAACCACAAGAGAGAGAGAGAGAGA